Molecule: long non-coding RNA, 820 nt
Filed under: Sinocyclocheilus anshuiensis
Lineage: Eukaryota; Metazoa; Chordata; Actinopteri; Cypriniformes; Cyprinidae
Description: lncRNA (ENSSANG00000025172.1)
Source: RNAcentral
CAUAUAACGAAGUUUGGGCAAUUCAAAUUACAAAUUACCUUUGCCUGAAGACUGCCCUGGAGGACACAAAUGCUGUCGAUUUGAUUCUGGGCCUGUUUGCGUGCCGCCUGUUUUCAUGAAGCUGGGUCAGUGUCCCAUACCGGAGAUGAUUCCACUGUGUGCUGAAAGCUGUUUUCAAGCCGGGUCAAUGUCCCCUACCGGAGAUGAUUCCUCUGUGUGCUGAAAGCUGUUUCCAUGAUGGCCAGUGUCCUGCCACACAGAAAUGUUGCCCAACCACCGGUGGCUUUGCAUGCAGUGAACCACGUGGUCAGGGAAGAGGUCAGACAAGUGGCCAGGGAAGCGGCCAGGGCCAGGGAAGCGGCCAGGGUCAGGGAAGCGGUUACGGCCAGGGCAGCGGCCAGGGUCAGGGAAGCGGUCAAGGGAAUGGUCAUGGUCGGGGAUGUGGUCAAGGGAAUGGUCGGGGAUGUGGUCAAGGAAGUUGUCAGGGAUGUGGUCAUUGAAAUGGUCAUGGGAGUUUUGUGUAACACUUACUGGAGGUCUUUUCAAUUCAGUGCUUUAUUCAUAAGCCAUGUGUUCCCUGUUUGCUCAAAUGGUUUAGAAAUAUUUUCUGUCCCACCUCUGCCUCAAAUAAAAAGAUUUGCUUGAUUGACGAGUUGGUGUUUUUUGGUGUCAUUUGGCUGUUUUCUCGCAUCAGUGCUUUCUUGCAUCAGUGCUUUAAAGGAACACUCCACUAUUUUUGAAAAUUUUCCAACUCCCUUAGAGUUAAAUGUUUGAGUUUUACUGUUUUGAAAUCCAUUCAAACGAUCUCUGGGUCUGGCGG